GCUGGGAGCUGUCCCUUCAAAAUGUGAUCACUGGCAAGAUGGCGUCAUCUCCUGUCCCUGUGGAAGGAUGGAGCCCAGCCUUGGACUACCCCGAAGAUCCGUGGAGAACACGUUCUAGAACUCUUAACGGCCACUCGCGACAGGCUCCCGGAACACCACUGCUUCUAGCACGUGGAAUAGAGCGGGAUUCGGGAUGAGCUUUGCAGCCACGUGACGUUAAGUAAUGACAGUUGGAGACCACUAGAAAUUUAUAAACUAUAUGAAGUCAUCGGGAAGUAUACAGAUAAAACAAGUCAAAUCAAUCUAACUUUUGGAUGGAAUAUUCAUAAAAACCUGC
Long non-coding RNA from Homo sapiens (human), 337 nucleotides. RefSeq lists it as uncharacterized. NCBI's taxonomy places the organism in Eukaryota, Metazoa, Chordata, Mammalia, Primates, Hominidae. The transcript has 3 exons. The record is from RefSeq and is a predicted model, not a curated record.